Molecule: ribosomal RNA, 494 nt
Filed under: uncultured bacterium
Lineage: Bacteria
Description: partial 16S ribosomal RNA
Rfam family: Bacterial small subunit ribosomal RNA
Source: RNAcentral
GACGAACGCUGGCGGCGUGCUUAACACAUGCAAGUCGAACGGUGAAGCGCCUUCCUUUUUGGUGGGUGUGGAUGCGUGGCGAACGGGUGAGUAACACGUGAGUAACCUGCCCCCUUCUUCUGGAUAACCGCAUGAAAGUGUGGCUAAUACGGGAUAUUCUGGGUCUGUCGCAUGAUGGGUCUGGGUAAGCUAUUGUUUCGGUGGGGGAUGGGCUCGCGGCGGAUCAGCUUGUUGGUGGGGUGAUGGCCUACCAAGGCGGUGACGGGUAGCCGGCCUGGGAGGGUGGACGGCCAGAGUGGGACUGAGACACGGCUCAGACUCCUACGGGGGGCAGCAGUGGGGAAGAGUGCACAGUGGAGGCAAGCGUGAUGCAGCGACGAGGCGUGAGGGAUGGAGGCCUGCGGGUUGUGAACCUCUUUCGCUAGUGAAGCAGGCCUGCCUCGUUUGUGGGUGGGGUGACGGUAGCUGGAUAAGAAGCGCCGGCUAACUACGUG